This 839-nucleotide unclassified non-coding RNA is filed under the name Yarrowia lipolytica. Lineage: Eukaryota; Fungi; Ascomycota; Dipodascomycetes; Dipodascales. The record is from RNAcentral.
UACACCCUUCUUUUAACGUCAUCCCUCGUAUCUCAUCCAACACUACCUCCUCCAACGUUACACUGCCGAGUCUUGCACCUACUCUCAAGGACCCACCGCGUAUCACCACCGCCGAUCAGGGGGCAGCCGAUAAGACGUUGGGGACACCGUCUGCCGGCAUAGCCCAGGCCGUAUCGAUGAGGUGGAUCUGAGACGGGGGUAUUCAAUGUUUCGUAUGUCGAUGCAGUACGAGACCGAUAUUGGUAAACCGUGGAUGAUGUAUUCGUACAGCACCGGCCAUCUUUCAAGUACAGUACAUACUUGUACUGUGCUCGUGCCCAUACAGCACUUCAUCGCACUGUAUCGUACAGUAUGAAUGUCGGAUCGGAACCCGAUCCACCUCAUCGCCCCGAACUGGAAUAAUUAAACCCUCGCACCCCCGCUGAGACAGAAAAAGAAAUUCGUGCUGCCGAAAUUGGUCCACCGUACGAGGUUGCUACAACACAAUAAGCGAGCCAGUGAGCGCUAUUUCGGGAGAACCGCGGGGUUGCACCAGGUCAUGUGAUCUCAUCUUCCAUGAUUCGGUACCGUCACGUGAGUUUUGGCGAAACUCAACUCCCCAAUAUGGCGUCUAUAUGGACAUGCUAAAUGGAGGAGAGAUAGGAAGAAUACCACAUAUGGUGCAUUACUUGUAGUAGUUAAAGAAAGCUCAAGUAAAGACGGACGGCACCAUACAGCACACGGGGGUCAAGAGGCGUCACAUACCCCAACAAUAAGACACCAGCCGGUCCAAGACCUCCCACGUUCCCCUUGUUAAAUCUUUAACAAAAUCAAACUAUAAUGUCAAGUAAAUUACAAGA